Molecule: long non-coding RNA, 1959 nt
Organism: Clupea harengus (Atlantic herring)
Lineage: Eukaryota; Metazoa; Chordata; Actinopteri; Clupeiformes; Clupeidae
Exons: 2
Source: RefSeq, a predicted model, not a curated record
AGCCAUGCUACAUGCGAAAAGUGUUGGACUACAUAGAAUGGACACAUAUUCAGAAGCACAGCUAUUUUCUGUCUGCUGCGUCGGACUUCUCUGCAUUUAAAUGAUCAUGUCUAUUGACGAAGCUCAACACGGACUCAGUGAGUCUCACGGUCUCUGCGAGAGCAUUCAUGUUCAGCCGUCUACCAAAAAUGUCCCAUGCAAGGCCCUCAGAGAUGUGUUGAUUCAAGCAGGUAGGCACAUACCGUUCCACUGCCGAAGCCGACUAAAAAAGAAAAGAAAAUAUCAAGCCUAGGCUACUCAUGAGCCUACUCAUGACAUAAAUGUUUUGUCCUUUGACAGAGCAGGCCCUAUUUAUGAAAACAACCAUCCUAGUUGAAAGAGAAUAGUUAGUUUACACAUGUUGAUCUUAACAAGACUAAUAUUUGAAAUGUUGCAGGUGUUUGUGUCACUGAUAUAAUUGCACUCCAUGGAAUAAGACUUUAUUGGGCCUUAAAUUGAAUGCUUUAGAACAAGAGUGGACGUAAAACACUUGCAGAACCUGACAUACUGGCCAUGUGGGGAGAAAGACUGUUCAGAGAUACCCAGCAUACUCAUCUCUGUACGAUCAGUUGAAGCUGUCUCCAAAAAGGCUCAAUCUAAAAGGUUUUGUGGCAGGAUGUAAGUAGAUGUCUCUGAGGUAAAUACCUACCAUAUUCUACCACAUCCUGGUAGAAUUCCACCAGAUGGCGCUUUUGUUCUUAUGGGGGAGGCGACUUAUGUCCACGUUCUUUAUAUGUUAACAUUUGAAACGGUCCAACAAGAUAAGUUGGAGCCUUAUACAAUUUUUAGAAUUAGCAUAGAAUUAACAUCGUUUCUUGUUUUGCACUUUUGCAUUAAAACAGUUUUGACAAUCUAAGUAAUCUUUUAUAUGAAAAAAAUCGUAUGCACUAUGAUAGGUUAGUUGACAUUUUCUUUAAUUAUUUGGUAAUAGGAUGCUGAAACAGCAAACAUAUAAAUGUUUACCGCCAUCUAGUGAUAGAGUCCACUAAUUGCAGUUGACAGCACCAUUCAUCCAUCUUUGUUCGUACAUCAAAUACACAAUUUCACGGUAGCCUGGGUAAAAAUUGAACUUCACGUCCACAGUGCUAAAAAUGCUAGUUUUUAAAAAGCAAUACAGUAUCAUUUUAUACCUGAAUGUAAUUCUAAAGGUGCAGUGUGUACUUUUUCAUUUUUGAAAACUUACAUGUGCUUUUAGACUCGCAACAAUGAUGUAGAUCUGAAGGCAUUAUAAAACCGACAAUAUUUCCCCAAUGUUCCAGUGGACUGUUCCUUCAUUACUACCGAACUUUAAAGUCUGUCAGCAUUGGGUUCAAAAGGAAAACUGUAUACCUGUAACUGAAUCAAGACUUGGGUCUCACUCUGCAACAAACCAGUAGAAACUAGUUGUUUCUUGUUUUUACCACAUCUUGAUGAAACAUUUCCAUUUGCAUUGGUCCAUGUAAUUAAUCUUUGGCAUUUGUGCACUAAUACUUGAAAACUGUCUCUAAAUGUCUUAGAUGUAUACCUUAUGGUUAAAUAGUCUUUGUACAUAAAAACUUGGCUAAUAUAGAUUUAUUCAUGAUAAAUAUGUCAUUCUCAUUGUAUACUGCAUGUACACAUUGCAUGUAAUGUAUAAAAAAAGAGUGUGUGUAAUGUUUAAUGCAUCUGAAAGUGAAAGAUAAAUCACAAGCACCACAGAAAAUGGCAUCCUAUGCAGUAGUCUAAGAACUGACUGUGGUUUAAGGCUCCUCCCCCUCGUUCAGUGUCUUUUCUCUUUCCUCCAUUUCUCUUUUUGUCAAUAGUCUCUCUCUCUCUCCCUCUCUCUAUCUCUGUCUCUCUCUCUCUCUCUCCCUCCCUCUCUGUCCCUCUCUCUUUGUUGCUUUGUACCUAUUUGUGUAUACUAUGAUACUAAAUAUUAAAUCCUAAAUAUUUCAGUAGAAA